UACGAAGGGGGCUAGCGUUGCUCGGAAUCACUGGGCGUAAAGCGCACGUAGGCGGCCUUCUAAGUCGAACGUGAAAUCCCCGGGCUCAACCCGGGAACUGCGUCCGAUACUGGAAGGCUUGAAUCCGGGAGAGGGAUGCGGAAUUCCAGGUGUAGCGGUGAAAUGCGUAGAUAUCUGGAGGAACACCGGUGGCGAAGGCGGCAUCCUGGACCGGCAUUGACGCUGAGGCGCGAAAGCCAGGGGAGCAAACGGG
Molecule: ribosomal RNA, 253 nt
Filed under: uncultured bacterium
Lineage: Bacteria
Description: partial 16S ribosomal RNA
Rfam family: Bacterial small subunit ribosomal RNA
Source: RNAcentral